This 657-nucleotide long non-coding RNA is filed under the name Nicotiana tabacum (common tobacco). RNAcentral's name for it is "long non-coding RNA (NTAB_LNC003433)". The record is from RNAcentral. Lineage: Eukaryota; Viridiplantae; Streptophyta; Magnoliopsida; Solanales; Solanaceae.
AAAUCCACCAUUUUUCACUUCUAACAAAAUUCAUAUAAUCCAUACCCCAAUUACAAGUCAAAGAAUGGAUGAGCCACCUUCUAAAAUUCCGUCGAGGCAAAAAAGAGCCGGCGAAACUAUGUCAAAGAAGAACACAAACGGUGAAAUCCAAAAGAGAGAAGAAGUCGGACUGCGUAAUUAGAAAUUUUCACCCAAAAUUCGUCAUUUUUUUAUUGUCUUUCUCUUUUCUGUAUCUGUCUUCCAUUUUGAGAGAGGGAAUUAAUGUGAAAGAAAAGACUGAUAGAAAAAUUUUGAUAAAAUUUAUUGUUUUUCUUUGUUUUUCACCAUUGCUGCGUAGCUUUGGAACAAACAGAUGAAGAAGCGGGGAAAGAUUGGAGUGGGGGAGAAAGAAAAGAAGGAAGGGGGGGGGGGAGCCAGAACCCUACCGAUAAAUCCUCGCCAAAAUCAAACUCCAAAACCAACAUCCAAUCCUUCAAGCAGGAUUCAUCAUCUUCUUCGGCUUCCAAAGCACUAACCGGCGAGCAAAAAAUCGAUGAUUUAAACCUUCCGCGACAGGAGGUGAUUCGCCGCCUUAGGUUUCUGAAACAACCAGUGACUUUGUUCGGAGAAGUUGAUGUGGCGAGGGGAAUAGGGGUUUAAUGAUUUUGGAGCAGGGGC